This 476-nucleotide long non-coding RNA is filed under the name Salmo salar (Atlantic salmon). RNAcentral describes it as "lncRNA (ENSSSAG00000114625.1)". The record is from RNAcentral. Lineage: Eukaryota; Metazoa; Chordata; Actinopteri; Salmoniformes; Salmonidae.
CUUGGACUUGAGCCUUAUGACUCGACCUGACUUGAUACCCUCCCCAAGCCCAAAUAUAAAAAAUGAUGCUAUUAAAAAAAGUGUGCAGCGCAUCAACUCUUCAUUUAACGUAUUACAGUUUGAAUCGGACAGCAGCCAAUCAAAUUGUGCCAGCUGAGAAAAAGUUGUGCGAGGCAGUGCAGAGAAACGUCGGCGGGUGAAUUCAGAUGGAGCCCUUGGAAAGAUGAUACCCAAAAUUAUUAUUUUCGGAUAUAAAGACGAUGCUGUAUCAACAAAAAAACGGAUUGCAACUUGCAAAACAUGCGGGAAGAAAAUGGCAGACUGAGGCGCAACAAUUUCCAACUUUGUUCGACAUUUGGUAACGGUGACACAGACAUGAAAGUAGCACGUUUUGAGACACAUCACAGGAGUGGAGUGGGCUAUGAGAUGGAAGGCAGUGUGGCUCCACUCCACAGGUCAGGCCACAGCGCUCCUCU